GGCUGGUCUGAAUGCAGUGGUGCUUACAACUAGUUGAUCACAACCAGUUACAGAUUCCUUCGUUACUUCGCCACUCCCACUACUUCACUUGACCUUAA
RNAcentral lists this Y RNA (98 nucleotides) under Microcebus murinus (gray mouse lemur). RNAcentral describes it as "Y RNA (ENSMICG00000042202.1)". It matches the Rfam family "Y RNA". Rfam says of the family: Y RNAs are components of the Ro ribonucleoprotein particle (Ro RNP), in association with Ro60 and La proteins. The Y RNAs and Ro60 and La proteins are well conserved, but the function of the Ro RNP is not known. In humans the RNA component can be one of four small RNAs -- hY1, hY3, hY4 and hY5. The record is from Rfam by way of RNAcentral. Lineage: Eukaryota; Metazoa; Chordata; Mammalia; Primates; Cheirogaleidae.